AUUGAACGCUGGCGGCAGGCCUAACACAUGCAAGUCGAACGAGCGGCGGACGGGUGAGUAAUGUAUGGGAAUCUGCCUGAUGGAUGGGGAUAACUACUGGAAACGGUAGCUACUACCGCAUACUAUCGGAUGUGCCCAGAUGGGAUUAGCUAGUAGGUGGGGGAAAGGCUCACCUAGGCGACGAUCCCUAGCUGGUCUGAGAGGAUGACAAGCCAAACUGGGACUGAGACACGGCCCAGACGCCUACGGGAGGAAGCAGUGGGGAAUAUUGCACAAUGGGCGAAAGACUGAUCCAGACAUGCCGCGUGUGUGAAGAAGGUCUUAGGAUUGUAAAGGACGUUAAGUUGGGAGGCGUUACCAACAGAAGAAGCACCGGCUAACUUCGUGCCAGCCGCCGCGGUAAUAC
Molecule: ribosomal RNA, 406 nt
Filed under: uncultured bacterium
Lineage: Bacteria
Description: partial 16S ribosomal RNA
Rfam family: Bacterial small subunit ribosomal RNA
Source: RNAcentral